GAUGAACGCUGGCGGCGUGCUUAACACAUGCAAGUCGAGCGAGAGAGUUCUUCGGAACAAUCUAGCGGCGGACGGGUGAGUAACACGUGGGCAACCUGCCUCAUAGAGGGGAAUAGCCUUCCGAAAGGAAGAUUAAUACCGCAUAACAUCGUUGAAGGGCAUCCUUCGAUGAUCAAAGGAGUAAUCCGCUAUGAGAUGGGCCCGCGGCGCAUUAGCUAGUUGGUAAGGUAACGGCUCACCAAGGCGACGAUGCGUAGCCGACCUGAGAGGGUGAUCGGCCACAUUGGGACUGAGACACGGCCCAGACUCCUACGGGAGGCAGCAGUGGGGAAUAUUGCACAAUGGGGGAAACCCUGAUGCAGCAACGCCGCGUGAGUGAUGACGGCCUUCGGGUUGUAAAGCUCUGUCUUUGGGGACGAUAAUGACGGUACCCAAGGAGGAAGUCACGGCUAACUACGUGUCAGCCGCCGCAGUAA
Molecule: ribosomal RNA, 476 nt
Filed under: uncultured bacterium
Lineage: Bacteria
Description: partial 16S ribosomal RNA
Rfam family: Bacterial small subunit ribosomal RNA
Source: RNAcentral